Molecule: long non-coding RNA, 1686 nt
Organism: Oncorhynchus kisutch (coho salmon)
Lineage: Eukaryota; Metazoa; Chordata; Actinopteri; Salmoniformes; Salmonidae
Source: Ensembl
UGACCCACCAAGCCGCGCUUCUUAACAUCCCCCCCGCUUAACCCGGAAGCCAGCCACACCAAUGUGUCAGAGGAAACACCGUCCAACUGACUACGGAAGUCAGCCUGCAGGCGCCCGGCCCACCACAAGGAGUCGCUAGAGCGCGAUGAGCCAAGUAAAGCCCCCCCGGCCAAACACUCCCCUAACCCGGAUAACGCUGGACCAAACACUCCCCUAACCCGGAUAACGCUGGACCAAACCCUCCCCAAACCCCGGACGACACUGGGCCAAACCCUCCCCUAACCCGGACGACGUUGGACCAAUUGUGCGCCACCUUAUGAGACUCCCGGUCAGGACCGGUUGUGAGGCCUAAACUGUACCUUUCAAUGAAAGCUCUGGAAAGAUUUCUCUCUCUGGGGUGAGAAACAAAAAAUCACUGCAGUUCACGUAUCCCUUAGGAGACAGACAAUUCUGAGAACUGGCAGUUCCCUUGUAAUAUUGGUGUUUGAGCAAGAGAAACCAGGUUUUCCCUCAUCCCUGACACUUGCCCAGGAUACUGUCAUUACGUACUGAGAGACAGACCGUUUUUCUAACUGGAAUGCAGAAAAGGGAAUAUGAAGAGACAUGAUUUACAUACACAGAGGUAUUAUAAGAACACUGAGAUGGGUGACGAAACGAGCCAUUACCCGGCAGCAACGGGAUCGGUUGCAUGCUUCGUGGGGCAGAUGUGAUGUAGAGCUCCCACACCAACCAAGAACAUAGAGAUUAUGACGGCUGGUUGAUAUGCCUGGAUAACCUUUUCUACUGACCAUUCUCCUCUGCAAUAAUACUCUAAGAAUACCCUGAUGAUUCUAUUCUAUGCUAUUCUGUCAUCAACUAGUUAUGUAUGUCUUUAAUUCCAAACUGGAAGCCUCCAACUCUGUAUGUCCCUUAGCCAAUGGGUAAGAGCUGUAUAUGUCUGAAAACAAUGGCUUAUAGGCAGAUCAUAUAGAGAUCAUACAUAAUAAUCUUCAUAUCUUGACUGUAUUUUCUGGGUUUAUGGCAGCUCUUAAAGGUAUCAUGGUAGGAGAGAAGAGAAUACACACCAUAAACUAAACGAGCAGCUCAUAAAAUCAUACAGUACAUUUCCUGUCAGAUGGCAUUUGGUUGUUUGGAGAGAUCUGGGAAAUCUCUUUACCCCUCCCGAUCCAACCUCUACUUAGAAGCAAUAACAUUAUAUAAUAGCCCCAUCUGGUCCACAGAUUGAUUUAAAAUACUCAUUGUGUGUCAUGUUAUAUUCCUUUGCAAAUGAUGGGUACAGUAAAUAUUAAACAGGCUACACAUACAAAUGGGUUUUCCCAAGGCCGAUCUCACUCAUCUGGAUAUGCAGACUACAGAUGGGUAACUACUAAAUUAUGAGCGGUUUCACCUUGAGGUGUAUGAGAGUGAAGCAGAUUAGUGUGUUGUGUGAGUUCACCCAGUAUUAAGGUGCAUUCACGUGGAUGGCUAGUCAUUCAGAGGUUAUGAACGGUGCAGUUGCCAUCCUGCCAGCUCAUUUACUCACUGAAACAAUGGUAGUUUACAUACACAUGAUUAUGUACAGUUCCUAAUGCUCUCUGGCAAUGAGUGUUGUGUCCAUGUCUUCAGUGCUAUGUGUGAGUUGCUGAGACAGCAGGGGCUGUGAUGCUUUGAGGACAUCUAGUGGUAUUGCAGUGAUAGUGGCAAAUU